CGCCCAGCAGCAACCACAUUAGGAAGGAAUCGGAAACCAACGCUCCGCUGGCUGUCACCCCUUACCCACUUGCUGUCAGGUGUCCAAACAGUGUCAUCCGGUGUCCUGACAUGCGGCCCCAAUGGACUGAUCCAGGGUGGAAAGGAAGAGUGAGAAGAAAUCAGACAGAAGAAUUCAGGAGAUGUGGCAACAGAGUGGAUGUAGCAGAAGGGACAUAGAGAGUGCCUAAAGAUGAGUCUUUGGUCAGCAUGUGAUGAAAAGAAUGAAGACACUGGGGAAGUGGGGAGCAGAAGCGGAUGUGGGCCCAGGAGGAAGAAGGUAGGUUUGGACUGGGGCAUGCUGAGGUCAGUAGCAACAUCAAAGUCCUGAGCACCCUCAUAUUGUUGCAGAUUCCAGAGAGCAGAGAUGGCAAAAAGAUGCAUGGAAGAGAGACACAGCAGGGUCGGGUUCUGGCCUCAGGAGCCAAGGGGGAAGUGCCUGAGGAGACCCCCAAAUGAGGCCUGUGUCAAUGAGGUCUUUAGGGGACUGGUUUCCAUGUAUGCCAGGCCAUACUCCCUGGAUUCCCAGCAUUGAGAAGACCAAACACUUCUACACAUUUAUUACUGAAGCCCCCUGCAAGCUGAAGGCGGAGGAAGUGGCCAAUCUCCUAAGCCGUGUGUGGCUGAGGCAGUUGUCAGAGCUGUGAUGAGGGAAAUGCUCAUUAUUCUUCUAUCCCUCACUUGGCCAAAUAAAGAACUUCUUAGAAUUCUUCCCCUGUGACAAAACGGGGCUGUGAUUUGGAAAGCCUCAGGCAAGUUUGCUAGGGCCGCGGUAACCAAGCACCACAGACUGGGUGGCUUCAAAACUGGACGGCUUCAACAGAAAGUUAUUGUUGCUCAGUUCUGGAAGCCAGAAGUCCAAAAUCAAGGUACUUGCAGGGUCAGUUCGAUCUGAGGGCUGCGAGGGAAGGAUCUGUUGUAGACCUCUCUCCUAGGUUUGCAGGCAUUGGUCCUGAUGUUCACAGGGCAUCCUUCCUGUG
RNAcentral lists this long non-coding RNA (1018 nucleotides) under Homo sapiens (human). Its description in RNAcentral is "non-protein coding lnc-IL6-3:4". Lineage: Eukaryota; Metazoa; Chordata; Mammalia; Primates; Hominidae. The record is from RNAcentral.